Long non-coding RNA from Benincasa hispida (wax gourd), 745 nucleotides. RefSeq lists it as uncharacterized. NCBI's taxonomy places the organism in Eukaryota, Viridiplantae, Streptophyta, Magnoliopsida, Cucurbitales, Cucurbitaceae. The record is from RefSeq and is a predicted model, not a curated record.
UAAUUGGACAGUUAUGGGAUAAUUGUCGUGCGCUUAGUGCGAGGUUCAAUUCGGUUUUCCUAACAGAAGAAUAAAAUGAAAAUUGUUUUCAUUUUUGCAAGGAGAUAAAAAAGACACACAUAAUUAGCUAACGGUAUGUUUUGCAAUCAAUCACUUAGUAAAUCAGAGCCUAUACGAUAACACAUCAUUUUACUAAACGAUCACUCACACGCGUGCACGCUUCUCUAAAUGGUCGCCCACCUUUUCCUAAAUGAUCACUUAGCGCAUGAGCUUCACUGAACGAUCAUAAAGGCGAUCGCCUAGUUUUUCCUAAACGAUCAAGCAUCUUGACUAUACGAUAGUUGUUGCCUUCUCCCACUUGCUUGAUUGUUGUACACGAUUUCUUUUCCUCCUCACCUUUACGAAAUCCGAACAGAGCCCACACUUUGGAUUCUCACCUCGACAAUACUAAGGGCUCCAAGUGGUGGUGUCGUCUCCAUUUCCUACUGUUCGUGUGAACCCAUUCGUGGUAGACGACCAGAGUGGUGCUGAACGAUAGGCUGCUGUUCUAGCGAGAGCGCAAGAAGUCUGUUCAUGGAGAGAGCAAGAUUUGUUCUGAAGAAAGUCUUCAACUGAAAUCGUUCGUGAUCAAGAUCUUUGGAAGAGUCGUUGAUUGGAACUUCAAGAGGAUCAUUCUUGGAACUUGGGAAUCUACAAAGGAAAUCAGUCACCGCAUGCAUUAAUGGCUCAAAGAUAAAAGAAACAA